UACGUAGGGUGCAAGCGUUAAUCGGAUUUAUUGGGCGUAAAGGGCGUGUAGACGGGGGAUUAAGUCAGAUGUGAAAUCCCGGGGCUCAACCCCGGAACAGCAUUUGAAACUAAUUCUCUAGAGGGUAGACGGAGAAAACGGAAUUCCACAAGUAGCGGUGAAAUGCGUAGAUAUGUGGAAGAACACCAGUGGCGAAAGCGGUUUUCUAGUUUAUACCUGACGUUGAGGCGCGAAAGCUAGGGGAGCAAACAGG
This 253-nucleotide ribosomal RNA is filed under the name uncultured bacterium. Its description in RNAcentral is "partial 16S ribosomal RNA". It matches the Rfam family "Bacterial small subunit ribosomal RNA", at positions 524 to 776 of the family's 1533-position model. The record is from RNAcentral.